GCUGACUUCAGCUGUACAUAUAAUUGGCAUAAUACAGAGAUUAGUAUGGCCCCUGCCCAAGGAUAACACGCAAAUUCGUGAAGCAUUAUAUAUUUUU
Molecule: small nuclear RNA, 97 nt
Organism: Delphinapterus leucas (beluga whale)
Lineage: Eukaryota; Metazoa; Chordata; Mammalia; Artiodactyla; Monodontidae
Source: Ensembl